RNAcentral lists this long non-coding RNA (778 nucleotides) under Homo sapiens (human). RNAcentral describes it as "PCBP1 antisense RNA 1". The record is from RNAcentral. Lineage: Eukaryota; Metazoa; Chordata; Mammalia; Primates; Hominidae.
UUUUAUGACUUAAAAAAGCCCACAGGCUGGUCUGAAGAGGAAGACAAACAUAAAGAUGAAGUGCUUAAUUCAAGGUCACACAAUGUCGGGGAUGGACCUCCAGAUUUCCUUACUGACCUGCAUUAUCUUGUGGAUACCUGAGUGAAUUCCACACCACCCAUUUUAUAGAUGAAACCACUGAGACAUGGAGCAAUUGACUGAGUAGUCACUGCCCCACCCCUGCCUGGAGCCUCACACAUGACUCGCCUCCUCUCAGUGACCACAGGAAAACAAGCUCAGGGCUCCCACUGAUUGUACAUUAUGAGACGGAGUCUUGCUAUGUUGCCCAGGCUGGUCUUGAACUCCUCACCUCAAGCGAUCCUCCCGUCUUGGCCUCCCAAGUGUCAGGAUUACGGGCAUGUGCUAUCACACCCAACCUGAUACAUUGCCUUUAUAAAUUUUUUUUUCUUUAUUCUAAAAACCAGAAAAAACAAAACUGGAUACAUGUGCAGAACAUGCAGACCAAGUGUGUUGGGGACUUGAGAUGCGUACAUGAGUGUGAUGUUUCCUGCUGAAAGCACAGGUGAGACGUGGUCUUGUAACACAGUGGUUAAGAAUGUGACUUUGGAGCCAGCCUGCUAGGGGCUGAAUUCUGACUCAGCCAUUUACUAACUGUGUGACCUUAGGCUGGAGUGCAAUGGCAUGAUCUCGGCUCAUCACAACCUCUGCUUCCUGGGUUCAAGCGAUUCUCCUGCCUCAGCCUCCCGAGUACCUGGGACUACAGGCACUCGCCACCAUG